AGAGAGAGAGAGAGAGAGAAGAUGACCUAGAAACAAUACAUCACUGACCAUCAUCUCCAUAGAUGAUCUGUUUUGAAUGAAUGGAGAAGGUGAGAUAGAGAUAGGACAGUGCUCUAUGUCUCUCUGUCUGCUUUGAUUUGAGUCAAUUUUAAAGAAAAGUUGGGGAUUUAUGAAAAAAAUUAGGGAAAGCAAUAAGAAAUGAAUGGUUAAGAAUUUUAUGAACAAAAUUAGAAAAAGCAAGAAUAAACUAAAAUAUAGAAGAAGAAAGAGAUGGGUUAUAGAAUGGAGGGGGGAAAGUUAGGGGUUUGGAAAAUGAUGAGAAGAAAGUUUUGGAUGGAAAAAAGGAAUAUAAAAAAAUAUAUGAUUAUUUUUUAUUAUUUAAAAUAAACGUAAAACAGUAUUUUAUUCAUUAAAAAUGGGAUUAUUUUUUUAAGAGAUUGCACUCAACUCAGGCAAAAUUGGGCUCAAUUGGACAUCACGAACAAGUCUAAGGGCUGAGUUGAACUUUAUGCACAAAUAGAUCAUUCAAUAUCUGUGCCAGUCGGCCUUUUUUUAAAGUAAACUUUCUAGGAUAGAUUUUUUAAGUAAAAUUUCUAGGAUAGAUUGCAUACUUUAUAUUAAAUGAUUAUUUGUUAUCAGCAAUGAACUUUUUGAUGCAAUUCUUAGAUCUUAAAUUGGAUUUCAUUUUGCAUGUUUCUAUUUAGUAAUUUGUUGCAAAAUUUAAAUGAUGCUGAUACCUUUUCAAUGGCCUGAUUAUAAUUUUGAAUUUCUUUGUUUGAAUGGGCUGCAUUUAUGUUGGUGCAAUUAGAUAAUUUGGUUGAAAAUCUUU
RNAcentral lists this unclassified non-coding RNA (829 nucleotides) under Hevea brasiliensis (rubber tree). Lineage: Eukaryota; Viridiplantae; Streptophyta; Magnoliopsida; Malpighiales; Euphorbiaceae. The record is from RNAcentral.